CAGUUAAUGAUUGUGUGUUUAAAAUAG
Molecule: non-coding RNA, 27 nt
Filed under: Cricetulus griseus (Chinese hamster)
Lineage: Eukaryota; Metazoa; Chordata; Mammalia; Rodentia; Cricetidae
Source: RNAcentral